Long non-coding RNA from Amphimedon queenslandica, 1245 nucleotides. RefSeq lists it as uncharacterized. Lineage: Eukaryota; Metazoa; Porifera; Demospongiae; Haplosclerida; Niphatidae. The transcript is spliced from 2 exons. The record is from RefSeq and is a predicted model, not a curated record.
AGAGGACUACUGGAUUAAGUGUAGCUUGAAGCCAGAUCCAGGGCAGUUAUAUAGCUUAUAUUGUUGCUGAAGGUUUGCUUACUUAUCAGAAACUGUUAAAGCUGUAAUACAGCACUUUAUUUUGAAGAAAAAUGAGAAAAAGCAUGCUUUUUUACCAUGCGUAAUAGGUGUGAAAUCUAUUCAACCUAUAACUUGCUAAGGGUAACUAAAACUGAGAGAGUGUCAAUAUAAAAAACAUGCAUCAAGUAAAGCUACGUGCCACUAAAACACUUUCAUUAUCACUAGUGCUUCAUACAGAUCAUAAGAUCCCAAAAUGUCUGUUUUUAAAGGCGUAUCUGUUCAACCUAUAUCACAAAAAGUAAGUAAAAUUAGGAUAAAGGACAAAAACUAUAACAAAGAUCAGGGUUUUUCACAUGCCUUUAGCCUAUUAUAUAAGCCACAGACGGCACUUUGGAAAAAUAAUAGCUGUAUUCGUUAAUUGUGCCAUCACAAAGGCAAUUUCAAUGAUAACAUGGGCCGCGAGAGGCGGCAAAGAUUCUGUCAACAAAACUAUGCUUAACCGUCACAAAGAACAGUCAUGAACUCCCAAGACCUAUCUGUUCAUCAUCGAUAGUAAAUAAAAUUCAAAUUAAUACAGUUGGAGACUAGGAGAAGAGCUUGUGUAGUCCUUCCAUUGCUUUCCCACCAUUACAGAGUCUGUCCGUGUGACGUCAUCAGUUUCCAAUCCCUGUUACUUAGUAAUACAAUCUAUGAUUGUAAUUAUAAUAUAGACCCAUUGCAGACACGCCCAUUUUGUGUAAAUAAACAUAGCAACCGUUGCUACCCGCCAUCUUGGAGGACAUGUGGCAUGAGUUGCCAUACUUGUCACUACUAGUGGUGCUUUUUGCUUGCAAAUCUUCUUCUUACCUAUUUCUUGCAACUCACUGAUGGUUUAGAGCUUAAAGCUAACCUACUUGGUCAAUUUGAAGUUCAUAUUAGGCCGGGGCGAGCCUCGACUGCCGGCCAGACAGAUAGCUCAGUAAUAACGAAUUCCAUGGUGAGUAGAGUUAUGGAACUACUCUACAUAAGGAACAGGCUGACUACUGGCUGCCUGAUGAUCAUUAGCAGCCCCGGGCCAGGCUCAAACUCGGCCCGUAUUGAGGUCCCACUAUUUUGGUCAGUGAGCUGUUACUUCAAGACAAUAGCAUAAAUAAUGAUUAUAUACAUUCAAAUUUGUUAAUAAAUUGACUUUUAUUUCUGUAAAAA